UUGAACGCUGGCGGAAUGCUUUACACAUGCAAGUCGAGCGGCAGCGCGGGGCAACCUGGCGGCGAGCGGCGAACGGGUGAGUAAUGCAUCGGAACAUGUCCAUGUCGUGGGGGAUAGCCCGGCGAAAGCCGGAUUAAUACCGCAUACGCCCGAGAGGGGAAAGUGGGGGACCGCAAGGCCUCACGCGAUUGGGUUGGCCGAUGUCCGAUUAGCUUGUUGGUGAGGUAAAGGCUUACCAAGGCGAUGAUCGGUAGCUGGUCUGAGAGGAUGAUCAGCCACACUGGGACUGAGACACGGCCCAGACUCCUACGGGAGGCAGCAGUGGGGAAUUUUGGACAAUGGGGGCAACCCUGAUCCAGCCAUUCCGCGUGAGUGAAGAAGGCCUUCGGGUUGUAAAGCUCUUUUGUCCGGAGCGAAACGGUUACGGUGAAUAUCCGUGACUACUGACGGUACCGGAAGAAUAAGCACCGGCUAACUACGU
Molecule: ribosomal RNA, 481 nt
Filed under: uncultured bacterium
Lineage: Bacteria
Description: bacterial SSU rRNA
Rfam family: Bacterial small subunit ribosomal RNA
Source: RNAcentral